UGAUUUCUUCUUAGUGUCAACAAGUGAUAACUCCAAACUCACGUCCGAGUGGAUCCUAGAUUCGGGAUGUUCUUUCCACAUGUGUCCUAAUAGAGAAUGGUUCUCCACAUACAGUUCGGAUGAAGGUAGAGUUUGUACGCAUAGGAAACGAUUCAUUUAGUAAGGUAAUUGGUAUUGGUAUUGUUAAAAUUAAGAUACAUGAUAGAACGAUUAGGACACUCUAAGAUGUCAG
Molecule: long non-coding RNA, 232 nt
Filed under: Gossypium barbadense (sea-island cotton)
Lineage: Eukaryota; Viridiplantae; Streptophyta; Magnoliopsida; Malvales; Malvaceae
Description: long non-coding RNA (GBAR_LNC004676)
Source: RNAcentral